AGGCUCCCAGGUCGAAAUCCUGCGAGGCUCGAGGAUGGGUCUGCGGCCUAUCAGGUAGUAGGGGGUUUCACGGACCCCCUAGCCAGAGACGGGUACGGGCUUUGGGAGAAGUCGCCCGGAGAUGGAUUCUGAGACACGAAUCCAGGUCCUACGGGACGCAGCAGGCGCGAAACCUCCACAAUGUGGGAAACCACGAUGGGGGAACUCCAAGUGCCUACACUAAGUGUAGGCUGUUCUCGAGCCUAAAAAGCUCGAGAAGUAAGGGCCGGGUAAGACGGGUGCCAGCCGCCGCGGUAAUACCCGCGGCCCGAGUGGUGCUCAUUAUUAUUGAGCCUAAAGCGUCCGUAGCUGGCCAGGCAAAUCUCCGGGUAAAUCGGGCGGCUCAACCGUCCGAAUUCCGGAGACACUGCUUGGCUUGAGAUCGGGAGAGGGAGAAGGUACUCCCGGGGUAGGGGUAAAAUCCUGUAAUCCGGGGGGGACCACCAGUGGCGAAGGCGUUCUCCUAGAACGAAUCUGACAGUGAGGGACGAAGCCCUACGGCGCAAACGGGAUUAGAUACCCUGGUAGUCUAGGGUGUAAACGCUGCAGACUUGGUGUUGGGGGUCCUGCGUGGGGCUCCCAGUGCCGGAGCGAAGGUGUUA
RNAcentral lists this ribosomal RNA (641 nucleotides) under uncultured archaeon. RNAcentral's name for it is "bacterial SSU rRNA". It matches the Rfam family "Archaeal small subunit ribosomal RNA", at positions 175 to 817 of the family's 1478-position model. The record is from RNAcentral.